RNAcentral lists this ribosomal RNA (497 nucleotides) under uncultured bacterium. Its description in RNAcentral is "partial 16S ribosomal RNA". It matches the Rfam family "Bacterial small subunit ribosomal RNA", at positions 28 to 507 of the family's 1533-position model. The record is from RNAcentral.
GAUGAACGCUGGCGGCGUGCCUAAUACAUGCAAGUCGAGCGAACGGACGAGAAGCUUGCUUCUCUGAUGUUAGCGGCGGACGGGUGAGUAACACGUGGAUAACCUACCUAUAAGACUGGGAUAACUUCGGGAAACCGGAGCUAAUACCGGAUAAUAUUUUGAACCGCAUGGUUCAAAAGUGAAAGACGGUCUUGCUGUCACUUAUAGAUGGAUCCGCGCUGCAUUAGCUAGUUGGUAAGGUAACGGCUUACCAAGGCAACGAUGCAUAGCCGACCUGAGAGGGUGAUCGGCCACACUGGAACGGAGACACGGUCCAGACUCCUACGGGAGGCAGCAGUAGGGAAUCUUCCGCAAUGGGCGACAGCCUGACGGAGCAACGCCGCGUGAGUGAUGAAGGUCUUCGGAUCGUAAAACUCUGUUAUGAGGGAAGAACAUAUGUGUAAGUAACUGUGCACAUCGUGACGGUACCUAAUCAGAAAGCCACGGCUAACUACGUG